ACUUCUCCAAGCCUCGGAAGUGCUAGACUCUCUUCUGAGAGAUUUGGCAAUUUCACCUGCCUUUAAUGCGCUGGCAGGUGUGUGAUGAGCCUGGGUCUUAUACACAAAACGACUUUUUGGUCUUUUUGUCUAUUAUUGUAGCUCACGAAGACGCUUACAGAACUGGGAGAAUAUGGUUGGGAUGGCCCAAUGUGAAAUGUAUUCUGAGAAGUGAUUGCGGCGGGGUGGAGGGAGUGGAGGCAUCACUCAGAGACAGAGGCAUUCAUCAUCCUGAACACCCAACCCUGGAGUGCUUCAGUAGGUCCAUGUGACUGCUGUGAUACUGUAAUAUAAUUAGAAGUGUAUAUUUUGGUCUUUGUCCCUGCCUCCGGGCGAGGGCUCUGAAAACCCUUACAGUCUCCUGCGUGACGGGGUGCUGGGAAAACCUUUUGUGCUAACAUUUGGUCUGUGACCCUGAUUCCUGACAGUGAUUCUGAAUCCCCUGGAAUUUCUGGGGACACAGAAGCAUCUUUUAUUCUAAGGAGGUAAUGCUUGGUGGCUCCUGGCGGGGGCGGGGGGAGGUUGAGUGUUAGAAAGACCCAGACACGAUUAGAAAUCUGAAGCUUUCAACUCCACCUGCCACCCUCCAGGCAGGGGAGAGGGGCUGGAGAUUGAGCUAAUUACCGGACUUGCCUACAUAAUGAAGCCUGAACUACAGGGUGUGGAGAGCUUCUGGACCAGCGAGCCCAGGUGAAGCGUUUCCCUGAGAUCUGAGUCCUGGCGAAUUCAUCGAAACUGAGGAGGAGGUCAUCGGUGACUUAGAGUCAAUUUAUAGCCAAGUUGAAUGGAGAUGUGGGUGACUUGGGGAUUCAAUCCUUGCAGCUGGUGUAUGAAGUGGAGGACAGUCUUGUGGUUCUGGCCCUUAACUGGUGAGGUCUGCACUAAUGCCAGAUGUUAAUCCACAAGGACAAAGAGAACAGGACAGGAGGUGAUGGAAGGAAGAUUUGGGAAGCAGGAAGAGACACGCAGCCCCUGACCCAGCAGCUCUGAGAAAGGUGAAUCAGAACAGAUGUGGGGGGUAUCUGAGAAGCCCUGAGUUACCCCGCAGAACCCUCUGGGAGAGGGAUGAAGGGUGCCGGGCUAAGAGGCAGUCUGGCCCUGAUUCUUCUCCCUGAGGCUUAUGCUGGCAGAGGAAACACACAUUUGGAUGUAGUAAAGAAAGACUUUAUUCAAAAGGACUAUUGUGAGUGGGUGGAGGGGAAAUAUUAUAACAGAACACUCUGCCCAUGAGGUCUGCAAGCGUCUCCAGAGUUAGAAAGAACCAUUCUUUUCUAGAGAGGAGGAAGCAAAGCUAGAAAGAGCCAGGUGUGGGGAAAUGGGAGGAAGGAUGGUGUGUGGCCAGGUGUGCGGCUCAUCCCUGUAGUCCUAGCACUUUGGGAGGCCGAGGUGGGCAGAUCACUUGAGGUCAGGAGUUUGAGACCAGCCUGGCCAACAGCGGCUGAGGAGGCACUAAGGGGUUUUCACCACCAAACGAGGAAAUAAACGAAAAGAAAGAAGGCAGAGGGAAAAGAAGCAGGGCAUUCAACUCGAGGAGAAAUAAAGAGAAUCCUCAGAGGGGAUUCAUGAAGACAGGUCCCAGGAUGUAGAGGGUUACCAGUUCAUGCUGGGACAUGUCAGAGUUCUCUAGGGUAAUUAUCACCAGUAAAAUAAAGGUGUUAGAAUUCUGUUGCAUAUGGAUAUAUUGAGAGGCUAUUUAGACAACCAGUGGCAAAUUCGAGGCUAAACUAGCCGUCAUAGAAUACUGCAUGGUUCAGGUGUAAAUAGCUUUAGGUCUUUUAUCCAUGUGUUAUUGAUUUUUGCAAAAGAUGUGGAAAUAAAUGUGUCACAUCCUCCAAUACAGCAGGGGAAAGCAAAAAAAGAAAUCAAUGAACUGGAAACGAUACCUGAAAAAAUUACCCAGAACAUGGCACAGUGGGCCAGAGUGGCAGGAAAUCUGAAGAGGCAUUGAGAGACCUAGCUAAUAGGCACGGAGCACAGAUUGGGAAGGGUGGACCGAGGAGGACUGACUCAGUAUCCCCUGUGUUCCAGGAGGUGACGAGGGAGUCCGUGUGAGAAACAUACGGGAUGUUUAGACGAAUUUCCAGAAUGAAUGUGAGACAUUAAUCCUUACAAUCGGACCAUGUAAUCACUUUCAAAUGGAAUCAGUAAAAGAAAUUCACACUUAGGUAAAGAAUAACAGAGAUGGGGGGGGGGAUAAGGAAAGAGAGAGCGAGAGAGAGAGAUGGGGAGGGAGAGGGAAAAAAAAGUAGGAGGGACCAAUGGCUGGCUCUCACUAGCAAAAAUGGUAGUUUGAAAAUAUGCAUAAAGAAAAUCUCUACCUAGCAAAAAUUACUUUUAAGAAUGAAUGUAUAGCUGGGUGUGGUGUCUGACACCUGUAACCCCGGCACUUUGGGAGGCCAAGG
Long non-coding RNA from Cebus imitator (Panamanian white-faced capuchin), 2441 nucleotides. RefSeq lists it as uncharacterized. The transcript is spliced from 3 exons. The record is from RefSeq and is a predicted model, not a curated record. NCBI's taxonomy places the organism in Eukaryota, Metazoa, Chordata, Mammalia, Primates, Cebidae.